AUUGAACGCUGGCGGCAGGCCUAACACAUGCAAGUCGAGCGGAUGACGGGAGCUUGCUCCUUGAUUCAGCGGCGGACGGGUGAGUAAUGCCUAGGAAUCUGCCUGGUAGUGGGGGACAACGUUUCGAAAGGAACGCUAAUACCGCAUACGUCCUACGGGAGAAAGCAGGGGACCUUCGGGCCUUGCGCUAUCAGAUGAGCCUAGGUCGGAUUAGCUAGUUGGUGGGGUAAUGGCACACCAAGGCGACGAUCCGUAACUGGUCUGAGAGGAUGAGCAGUCACACUGGAACUGAGACACGGUACAGACUCCUACGGGAGGCAGCAGUGGGGAAUAUUGGACAAUGGGCGAAAGCCUGAUCCAGCCAUGCCGCGUGUGUGAAGAAGGUCUUCGGAUUGUAAAGCACUUUAAGUUGGGAGGAAGGGCAGUAAGUUAAUACCUUGCUGUUUUGACGUUACCGACAGAAUAAGCACCGGCUAACUCUGUGCCAGCCGCCGCCGUAA
RNAcentral lists this ribosomal RNA (500 nucleotides) under uncultured bacterium. RNAcentral describes it as "partial 16S ribosomal RNA". It matches the Rfam family "Bacterial small subunit ribosomal RNA", at positions 30 to 523 of the family's 1533-position model. The record is from RNAcentral.